UAGGGAAUCUUCCGCAAUGGGCGAAAGCCUGACGGAGCAACGCCGCGUGAGUGAUGAAGGUCUUCGGAUCGUAAAACUCUGUUAUUAGGGAAGAACAAAUGUGUAAGUAACUAUGCACGUCUUGACGGUACCUAAUCAGAAAGCCACGGCUAACUACGUGCCAGCAGCCGCGGUAAUACGUAGGUGGCAAGCGUUAUCCGGAAUUAUUGGGCGUAAAGCGCGCGUAGGCGGUUUUUUAAGUCUGAUGUGAAAGCCCACGGCUCAACCGUGGAGGGUCAUUGGAAACUGGAAAAACUUGAGUGCAGAAGAGGAAAGUGGAAUUCCAUGUGUAGCGGUGAAAUGCGCAGAGAUAUGGAGGAACACCAGUGGCGAAGGCGGCUUUCUGGUCUGUAACUGACGCUGAUGUGCGAAAGCGUGGGGAUCAAACAGGAUUAGAUACCCCUGGUAGUCCCACGCCGUAAACGAUGAGUGCUAAGUGUUAGGGGGUUUCGCCCCUUAGUGCUGCAGCUAACGCAUUAGCACUCCGCCUGGGGAGUACGACCGC
RNAcentral lists this ribosomal RNA (544 nucleotides) under uncultured bacterium. RNAcentral's name for it is "partial 16S ribosomal RNA". It matches the Rfam family "Bacterial small subunit ribosomal RNA", at positions 355 to 889 of the family's 1533-position model. The record is from RNAcentral.